This is a long non-coding RNA of Harpia harpyja (harpy eagle), 118 nucleotides long. RefSeq lists it as uncharacterized. The transcript has 2 exons. The record is from RefSeq and is a predicted model, not a curated record. NCBI's taxonomy places the organism in Eukaryota, Metazoa, Chordata, Aves, Accipitriformes, Accipitridae.
CGCUCCAGGCGGCUCUUCGACAUCUUCGUGGCUGAGGUUCCCUGGACGGUGUCGAGCAAGGAGCUGAAGGAGUACUUCUCCCAGUUCGGGUCAGUACAGAGGUGCCAGCUGCCGUUUG